RNAcentral lists this ribosomal RNA (490 nucleotides) under uncultured bacterium. RNAcentral describes it as "partial 16S ribosomal RNA". It matches the Rfam family "Bacterial small subunit ribosomal RNA", at positions 30 to 507 of the family's 1533-position model. The record is from RNAcentral.
AUUGAACGCUGGCGGCAGGCCUAACACAUGCAAGUCGAACGGUAACAGGAAGCAGCUUGCUGCUUCGCUGACGAGUGGCGGACGGGUGAGUAAUGUCUGGGAAGCUGCCUGAUGGAGGGGGAUAACUACUGGAAACGGUAGCUAAUACCGCAUAAUGUCGCAAGACCAAAGAGGGGGACCUUCGGGCCUCUUGCCAUCGGAUGUGCCCAGAUGGGAUUAGCUUGUUGGUGGGGUAACGGCUCACCAAGGCGACGAUCCCUAGCUGGUCUGAGAGGAUGACCCGCCACCCUGGGACUGAGACACGGUCCCGACUCCUCCGGGAGGCAGCAGUGGGGAAUAUUGCACAAUGGGCGCAAGCCUGAUGCAGCCAUGCCGCGUGUAUGAAGAAGGCCUUCGGGUUGUAAAGUACUUUCAGCGGGGAGGAAGGGAGUAAAGUUAAUACCUUUGCUCAUUGACGUUACCCGCAGAAGAAGCACCGGCUAACUCCGUG